CGAACAGGAUUAGAUACCCUGGUAGUCUACGCCGUAAACGAUGGUUACUAGCUGUUCGGCCCGAUUAAGGGCUGAGUGGUUAAGCGAAAGUGAUAAGUAACCCACCUGGGAAGUACGUUCGCAAGAAUGAAACUCAAAGGAAUUGACGGGGGCCCGCACAAGCGGUGGAGCAUGUGGUUUAAUUCGAUGAUACGCGAGGAACCUUACCAGGGCUUAAAUGUAGUCUGACAGGAGUGGAAACACUUUUUUCUUCGGACAGAUUACAAGGUGCUGCAUGGUUGUCGUCAGCUCGUGCCGUGAGGUGUCAGGUUAAGUCCUAUAACGAGCGCAACCCCUGUGGUUAGUUGCCAGCGAGUAAUGUCGGGAACUCUAGCCAGACUGCCGGUGCAAACCGCGAGGAAGGUGGGGAUGACGUCAAAUCAUCACGGCCCUUACGUCCUGGGCCACACACGUGCUACAAUGGUAGGGACAGAGAGCAGCCACUUCGCGAGAAGGAGCGAAUCUACAAACCCUAUCACAGUUCGGAUCGCAGUCUGCAACUCGACUGCGUGAAGCUGGAAUCGCUAGUAAUCGCAUAUCAGCCAUGAUGCGGUGAAUACGUUCCCGGGCCUUGUACACACCGCCCGUCAAGCCAUGGAAGCCGGGGGUACCUGAAGUCGGUCACCGCAAGGAGCCGCCUAGGGUAAAACUGGUAACUGGGGCUAAGUCGUAACAAGGUAGCCGUA
This 725-nucleotide ribosomal RNA is filed under the name Cronobacter sakazakii. Its description in RNAcentral is "bacterial SSU rRNA". It matches the Rfam family "Bacterial small subunit ribosomal RNA", at positions 769 to 1504 of the family's 1533-position model. The record is from RNAcentral. Lineage: Bacteria; Pseudomonadati; Pseudomonadota; Gammaproteobacteria; Enterobacterales; Enterobacteriaceae.